Molecule: non-coding RNA, 536 nt
Organism: Danio rerio (zebrafish)
Lineage: Eukaryota; Metazoa; Chordata; Actinopteri; Cypriniformes; Danionidae
Source: RefSeq, a predicted model, not a curated record
AUUCAAAGUGAAUGGGAAGCGUUGACGCUGACGCCCCGUGUGAAUAGGGCGUCUGUGUUGCAAUGUGGCGUUGGUGGUUGGAGCGAGACAUGAUGUACAACAUGUGCUCAGUUGGAUUCAGGUUUGGGGAACGGGCGGGCCAAUCCAUAGCAUAAAUGCCUUUAUCUUGCAGGAACUGCUGACAUGCUCCAGCCACAUGAGGUCUAGCAUUGUCUUGCAUUGGGAUGAACCCAAGGUCUGCUGCACCAGCAUAUGGUGUCACAUGGCGUCUGAGGAUCUCUUCUCGGUACCUAAAGGUAGUGUAGCUACCUCUGGCGUGCACAUGAAGGGCUGUGCGGCCCUGCAAAGAAAUGCCAUCCCACACUAUUAUUGACCCGCUGACAAACCAGUCAUUCUGGGGGAUGUUGCACAUGUGCGAUUGUCUUGUUUUAACAGUAUUUAAAAAUGGUGCUUCCUGUGUUGUCGUUUCUAUUCUUGCGCAUAAGUAACGAUUCUCUGUAAACCAAUAAACGUUUAGCAGUGAGUCCAAACUUAAA